Long non-coding RNA from Mercurialis annua (annual mercury), 739 nucleotides. RefSeq lists it as uncharacterized. The transcript has 2 exons. Lineage: Eukaryota; Viridiplantae; Streptophyta; Magnoliopsida; Malpighiales; Euphorbiaceae. The record is from RefSeq and is a predicted model, not a curated record.
AUGCAACUGGUAGUUUGGGUCAGCAAGUAAGUCCAUAUUAUGGUUAUGGACAAGGUUAAAAGGAUUAUGCAUAUGGUGCAUAUGCUGGUUAUCAUAUUAUCCUCAACAGGUUAGUAUGAAUUGUUACAGCAAUUUAGUUGUCAUUUACGCUAAACUCUUUAUAUUUGGAAUUAGCUCUAUGAACUUUGACGUUUUUAUGACGAUGCUCGUAGUCAAUUUUUGAAUGCUAUUGAAAAGAAGAGAUGCUUGGUGAACCAAUUUAUCCUUGGUUGUUUUUGAGUUUGCAACUCGGUGGCCCAAUAAUAGGUAGAUGGUGUCAACGAUAUCACCGGCGCCAUUCCAGUUGUAGAAUAAAAAGAGGAACUUUAUGACCCCCUAGUCGCUCCUGAUGUUAACAAGUUAAAUAUAAAAUUCAUGGAAAUGCCACUUAUCGUUGAAAACCUCAUCUCUUCCGCGACAAGCAUAGGCAUUAUACGCAUUAUAUAGCGUUAUGAUUCUCAGUUUGGCUGUCUUAAUCUGAGCAACAUAUGCAAGAAAUUGUCACCAGGAUUGAAAAUAUAUGUGCUUACCAUCUGUUUAUUUUGUUCCCCUGAUCAGGACAGAGUAAUGCUAUUGGAAGGAGCAUUUCUGUUUGCUGUAGCAUAUUUUCUUAGCUUAUUUUGUUAUCAUCUGUUGAGUGGUUUUGGUGACCUCUUUUGGUUAUGGACAAAUUAAUAGUGUUUGAGCUUUUCCGCAUUCA